UUAGUGAGUGGGUACAGAGAG
This 21-nucleotide unclassified non-coding RNA is filed under the name Mus musculus (house mouse). RNAcentral describes it as "oocyte_clustered_small_RNA3286". Lineage: Eukaryota; Metazoa; Chordata; Mammalia; Rodentia; Muridae. The record is from RNAcentral.